GCUGGCGAUUCGUGUUCGUGAGGGCCUUUUCUGGAGCUCUCUGUACAUCCUCAACCAGAGCCACAGCUUCCUCGCCGUUUUCUGGAUGCUGCUCCCUCACCCAGGUCUGGAUCUCCUCUGGCAAGAUAGUCAGAAACUGCUCCAAAACCAGCAGCUCCAGGAUUUCCUCUUUUGAGUGGGUCUUCGGCCUCAGCCACUGACAACAGAGUUCCCAGAGUUUGCUAAAAGCUUCAUGUGGGCCAGUUACCUCCUGGUAGCAAAACUGCCUGAAGCGCUGACGGGAGGCCUCGGAGUCAGGGCUGUUACCCUGGAGGGCUGAUUUCUGGCCCUGUGUGGGAUCCUUGUUUGAGGAUGGGUGUGCCUCGGUACUCUUCACUGCAGCCAUCAUUUGCUUCAACGAACUGGCUUACUCUGGUUGCCACUUCUACCCUGGAGAUCAGAGUCCAUCUUUCCCACAUCACUGGGAAGCCAUGUUCUCCUGCAAGGAAUGUCUUUCUGUAAUCCGUGGGACAUGAGAGUGUCAGACAUGUGUAGAGACUCACAGCGGAAAAAAAGGGCUCAACUUUGAAGGAUGUCUGAAGAGGAUGGAAAAAGAC
Molecule: long non-coding RNA, 596 nt
Filed under: Homo sapiens (human)
Lineage: Eukaryota; Metazoa; Chordata; Mammalia; Primates; Hominidae
Description: HSALNT0226942
Source: RNAcentral